This 482-nucleotide ribosomal RNA is filed under the name uncultured bacterium. Its description in RNAcentral is "bacterial SSU rRNA". It matches the Rfam family "Bacterial small subunit ribosomal RNA", at positions 29 to 506 of the family's 1533-position model. The record is from RNAcentral.
UUGGACGCUGGCGGCAUGCCUUACACAUGCAAGUCGAGCGGCAGCGCGGGGGCAACCCUGGCGGCGAGCGGCGAACGGGUGAGUAAUACAUCGGAACGUGUCCAGUUGUGGGGGAUAACCAGUCGAAAGAUUGACUAAUACCGCAUACGAUCCACGGAUGAAAGCGGGGGACCGCAGGGCCUCGCGCUAUUGGAGCGGCCGAUGUCGGCUUAGCUCGUUGGCGGGGUAACGGCCCACCAAGGCGACGAUCCGUAGCUGGUCUGAGAGGACGACCAGCCACACUGGAACUGAGACACGGUCCAGACUCCUACGGGAGGCAGCAGUGGGGAAUUUUGGACAAUGGGCGCAAGCCUGAUCCAGCCAGGCCGCGUGAGUGAAGAAGGCCGUCGGGUUGUAAAGCUCGUUCGGCGGGGACGAAACGGUCCGUGACAACACCACGGACUAAUGACGGUACUCGCAGAAGAAGCACCGGCUAACUACGU